Molecule: long non-coding RNA, 792 nt
Organism: Suricata suricatta (meerkat)
Lineage: Eukaryota; Metazoa; Chordata; Mammalia; Carnivora; Herpestidae
Exons: 2
Source: RefSeq, a predicted model, not a curated record
CAGCGCUGGUCCUGGGGACCAGGAACCCACAAGGAGCGCGAAUCAUCUUUGCGAUGUAACGGGCUCGGGGACUAGGGACAGGAAAGGACUGCAGGGUGUGGAUGGGCUUAGGAGUCUGCCCCUUUCUAUUGCUCGCUUCUGCCUCCAGCUUUCACCUCCCAAAGAUCCGUGGCCCACGGGAGGGUUUGCAAGGCUGGGGCUACCUUAGAAACUUUAGAAAGCCCGCAGGGGUAAGUCAAAGUGUAAAUAGGGAAAUAGUCACAGCACCCAGGAUCAGGCCAGAGGGAAAACACGUGGGUUCGGUUAUUGCCCCUGAUGGGAUUCCUGACUCUUAUCAUUGGAAGCCCAGUGAUACUCUUGGAGAGGCACAGAAGACCUGAAAUCAGCCUCCCCAUUUCUCUGAUAGCUAUGUCGCUUCCUCUGCAAUUGAGAGCACCUGUCAGGUACAAUCAGAGCUGGAAGAAAGUCUAUGAAGAAAGUAUAAGAAAUGAUAACACCACUGGGCGCCUAUACGUGACUUUGUACGCUUUGCAUCUUUUAUUUUUUUCCCUCUUAAGCCAUUGUUUUCUUCUCUUCAUCAUUUUUAUAAGCAGCAAAGACUCAGCUUUUUUACUAUCUCAAGAUUGACAUGGUGGAAAUUGCGUAGGGAGAGAGAGAAGUAAGAAAAAAAGGAUUCCUCUCCUCUGGUUUCAGAAGAACCUCGGAAUUUACAGGUCCUCCAAGGCAUAAAAUAAAAUUAAGAAAUAGAAAAUGUUUUUCCUCUUAAUAAAGGUCUUUAUGAUAAAAUUUAAA